UUUUUGUGUGCAGCGAACGUGACAAAACGAGCUUUCCGGUGAACUUUCCCAUCGGAGCUUGAAUCAAUUUUUCAUCGGAGUUUUGCGACUUCGACGAAAAUCGAGUAUUUUAUCUGGUAUUUAACAAAUGUUUUCUCAAGGGUUUUUUGGUUAUGUGGGAUUAGAGGAAUGCUACUCCAGAAUCUCUAAUUUUCCUCCCAAAAUCCUCUUCUUUACUUUUGUUCUUCAAUGGGUAUUUAUAGGAGAUUUGGGACUGAUUUUGGAGUGAAGUAGAGGGGUAUUUGAGGAAUAUCGAAAAGGAUUUUUGAAAUUUGAAACUGGGGAUAAGGUUGGUACGAAAUGGUUUGUUGUUGCUAAGUUGUUGCUGCAGCUGACCGUUGUUUUUACGUUGUUGUCAUUGUUACGUUAUCGAUAGAGGAGAAAAGGAAUAGGUUUAAGGGUUGGUUG
RNAcentral lists this long non-coding RNA (447 nucleotides) under Capsicum annuum. RNAcentral describes it as "long non-coding RNA (CANN_LNC009677)". The record is from RNAcentral. Lineage: Eukaryota; Viridiplantae; Streptophyta; Magnoliopsida; Solanales; Solanaceae.